GAAAUGCGAUAAGUAAUGUGAAUUGCAGAAUUCAGUGAAUCAUCGAAUCUUUGAACGCACCUUGCGCUCCUUGGUAUUCCUUGGAGCAUGCCUGUUUGAGUAUCAUGAAAUCUUCAAAGUAAAUCUUUUGUUAACUCAAUUGGUUUCUACUUUGGUAUUGGAGGUCUUUGCAGCUUCACACCUGCUCCUCUUUGUUCAUUAGCUGGAUCUCAGUGUUAUGCUUGGUUCCACUCGGCGUGAUAAGUUAUCUAUCGCUGAGGACACUGUAAAAGGUGGCCAAGGUAAAUGCAGAUGAACCGCUUCUAAUAGUCCAUUGAAUUAGAAAAUACUUUUAUGAUCUGAUCUCAAAUCAGGUAGGACUACCCGCUGAACUUAAGC
RNAcentral lists this unclassified non-coding RNA (378 nucleotides) under plant metagenome. RNAcentral's name for it is "partial contains 5.8S ribosomal RNA, internal transcribed spacer 2, and large subunit ribosomal RNA". The stretch from base 1 to 105 matches the Rfam family "5.8S ribosomal RNA", at positions 50 to 154 of the family's 154-position model. The record is from RNAcentral.